Molecule: RNA transcript, 3785 nt
Organism: Labrus mixtus (cuckoo wrasse)
Lineage: Eukaryota; Metazoa; Chordata; Actinopteri; Labriformes; Labridae
Gene: gdpd5b
Gene name: glycerophosphodiester phosphodiesterase domain containing 5b
Exons: 18
Source: RefSeq, a predicted model, not a curated record
GUACAGGAGGGCUCGACAUCAAAAAGACCGACACACACUCCUCCCUCUAUUCAGCAGGCUACAUAGAAUCACUCUCAGGGCUAAAGUAGCCUACCACUGCUCACUAAACAGACGAGAAGGCACGCUUUACUUGAGCUUCUAACGGGAUAAAAAAACACGAUGGAGUUACUGGAUGGGUUACAUGAGACGAGACUCAUUUAGAUAGCCCGACCGAAAGCCUCAAAAACCGUCCGUGCUCACCCGGCUCUUUUCUCCUUUUGUUAUCGGUGUAAAAACUUCGGCUCUGUCAGCAUUUACGGACCACCCACCCCACACACGUUACCUUUGACACGGGUUGUCCCAGUUUGACUUUCGAGGGCUUUUUGCCACUGGGAGAGAAAAAAAGACAAGCUUCAACCUUACUCUGUAAUCGCAAAGCUCAUCUUUAAAUCAAAGAAAAGUGGAAGCAGCUGUCGGACAGGGUACUUAAGUCAGUGGGAUGUUAGAGCGCUGGAAGCAGGACUGACAGAAGGAGCAUGGUGAAACACCAACCCCUCCAGGUCUAUGAGCGCCAGCUGUGUUUGUCAUGUAUCACUGGGAUCUACGGUUGCCGUUGGAAACGAUAUCAACGUUCCCAUGAUGACACCACCAAGUGGGAGUUGCUGUGGUCCCUCAUCCUCCUCUUCACCUUCUCUCUGCUGCUGGUCUGGUUCUACUUCUGGUGGGAGGCACAUAACGACUAUAAUGAGUUCAACUGGUUCCUCUACAACCGCUCCGGGGAGUGGAGUGAUGGCACUGUUCCCAUCCUGGCCACCACCGCUGCUGGCUUCACCUACAUUGCAUUUUUAAUGGUUUUAGCACUUUGCCACAUUGCACUUGGGCAACAGUUGAAUUUGCACUGGAUCCAUAAGAUAGGAGUGGCUACUGCUCUGCUCACCACCAUCAUUGGGGUAAUAUCUGUCAAUCAAACAUGGGGUCAAGAGUGGGAUGUCAUCCCCAUUUCCCUACAGGCUACUGGGCCGUUCCUGCACAUCGGGGCUCUUGCUGCAGUAACAGCACUGUCUUGGAUUGUGGCUGGACAGGUUGCCCGCUCAGAAAAAACAAUGUUUCAGGUAGUGGUCAUGCUGCUGUAUCUCACUGUGUUACUGGGACUCUAUGUGGUACCUCUUUACAUCACCUCCCCGUGCAUAAUGGACCGCAACUCCCUCAAACAACGCCCUGAUGUCAUUGGCCACCAGGGAGCCCCCAUGCUUGCUCCUGAGAACACACUGUGGUCCUUCCAGCGAGCUCUGCAGAUGAACGUCACUGGGUUUGAGGCUGAUGUCACUAUCAGUGAGGAUGGAGUGCCUUUCCUGAUGCAUGACCACACCCUGCAGAGGACCACAGAUGUACAGAAGGUUUUCCCAGACAGAGCAACGAUUGAUGCUUCCUACUUCAACUGGACGGAUCUGCAGCAUCUCAAUGCAGGACAGUGGUUCCUAAAGGGUGACCCUUUCUGGACUGUGCACAUGCUGUCCCCACACGAGAAGGAUCUGAUUACCAACCAGAGUGUGUGCAGCCUGGAGCAGCUUCUGAAACUGGCUUCCUAUCACAACACCACAGUGGUGUUUAGGCUGAGGAGACCUCCUCCAGAACACCCCUGCCAUUACAGCUGGAUCAAUGAUACUCUGCAGGCUGUGCAGCAGUCUGGCAUUCCUCAGAGCCUGGUGAUGUGGACUCCAAAUGAAGACAGAGCGAUGGUGAAACAGCUGGCCCCUGGUCUGAUCCAGACCUCACUGGAGAAGCUGAAUCCUAAGAGUCUAGAUCAGUCUGGCAUCAGCAGGCUGCUGCUCAGAUACAACCAGGCCAGCACACAGGAAAUCAGAGACUUCUCCCAGAGCAAUGUCAACCUCACUCUUUACACUGUCAACGAGCCCUGGCUCUACUCGGUGCUCUGGUGCAGCGGGGUGUCUGCAGUCUCCUCAGAGGCACCACAGAUCCUUAAUAAGGUGCCUUACCCCGUCUGGCUCAUGAGACCAGAUGAAUACUGCCUGAUGUGGGUGUCUGCUGACCUCAUCUCUUUUGCUGUUGUUGUAGGAAUAUUCAUUUUCCAGAACUAUCACAUGAUCAGGUAUCGCAUGAGCGGUAUGCGCAGCUACAACCCUGAACAAAUCAUGCUGAGUGCCGCAGUCAGGAGGUCCAGCAGAGACCUCAACGUGAUGAAGGAGAAACUAAUUUUCUCUGGUCAACCUCAGUAGCAGCCUUUGUGAUGUACAGCACCUCCUGUCCAUGCUACCACCAGUGUGACUUACAUUUCAUGCAUCCAUUGCAUCUCUCGUUGCCUGCCACUCCUCUGUGUACUAUGCCCUUCUCCCCCUCAUCCAUCCAUCAUCCCUUCAUGCACCAAACCUCCCCCAUAACUCUCCUGCUGGAGACAACAUCAUGUGUAGGGGAGCUUAUAGACGCCCCAAUCUGUCUUGACAGCCUCUAGUGCUGGGGGGCAAAGAGGUGGGGAAUGGUGUUGGAAGUGCUGAAGAGCUGUAUGCAGACAAUGGCUACGACUACUACACCAAUCAGGGCAUAAACCAGUGAUUGGGACUUACCUUUGUGAAUCUGCUGUGAGAGACGGAGAUGACAACAACGCUUUGUUUUCACAUCAGAGCGAGGUCUGUCCUCCUCUGUCCUCCUACUCAUUAACUGACAGAUUUCUGUAUCUGAUGCGGAAAACAAACCACGCCAGUUACAUCCUGUACAUGCUGUAAAUAGUUUUAUGUUUUGCUUGUCGGAUAUGCUGCAACAUACACGGGAAUAAAUGCACUUUUAUGAAUAGGACUCGCCAAAUCUGUGGCCUCCUCUCUCACAUCUAAACGUCUGAGAGGCUCUAUAAGUUACCAAUGCCUACUUCUUUUAAAGAUGUGUUUUCAGAUUAUUUUGCGCUGAUUCUCCAAAGCAGUACCUUGGUUGGUUUUAGCCAAUUUACAUGAUAUUAAUGUCUUUUUAAAAAGGCUCUUUAUUUAUGGCUGAAUGAAACUAGUACACUAACGGCUCAUCAUGCUCUCGCCUUCUGUCGACACUCAGCUGCGCUGUUGUUCACAAAAGUAAUGAUAUAAGUAUUUAUAUUUAAAGAGAAAACUUCAAAAGGCAAACGAUUAGUUUACAAAAGCCCUGCCUUCUACUCCUAGUGAAAUAUUCACAUGGUGCAUGUAAGAUAAUUUACUAUUUUGAUAGAGGUUGAAUUUCCCCUUUUCCCAACUUUUGACCGUGUAACAGUAACGAUCAUAUCAAGUAAAAGUGUGCGCGAGCUGUGCUCCCAGUGCAACCAGAAGAACUUGUUGAAAUGGUUUGGGGGAGGGACUUGUGUGCCGUCUCUUCAUUGUAAAUGUGAAUGUGUUGUUGUUUGUCUUUUUUUAAAGAUGUGUAUAAUGUAUUGUGUGUGUAUGGCUGGUAUAUAUAUUUUUAACCUUGUGUGCAGUUCUAUGCUGGGUGAAUAACAUUUCAACAAUGUGAGAGUUAUAGCAAUAGUAAGGUCAAGAUGGAAGUCAUUGAACUGCCUGGUAGGCCUCUGAGCUGCAGUUAAAGUCUGUGGUUGAUUAGUGUUAACAUACACAAUGCAUCUACUAGCUGGUUGCUGGUGUAAAACUGAAUGCUGUAAGGUAACUGAAGUGGGUGCUAAAUGUGAAAAAAAAGCUCUUAGCUUAUUGAAGGGACGCUACAGGUAUCACUACAGGCAGCACAGGUUCAAGGAAUUGACUGUCUGCCUUUUGUGUUUUUCUUUUCUUACGGUAUUACUGUGCCUCAGAAGUAAACAUUAAAACAAUCUUCUAAUA